AGAGUUUGAUCAUGGCUCAGGACGAACGCUGGCGGCGUGCCUAAUACAUGCAAGUCGAGCGGAUCUUUAAGGGGCUUGCCCCUUGAGACUAGCGGCGGACGGGUGAGUAACACGUGGGCAACCUGCCUGUAAGAUUGGGAUAACACCGGGAAACCGGUGCUAAUACCGGGAUAAUUCUUCUCUUCACAUGAAGGGAAGCU
This 200-nucleotide ribosomal RNA is filed under the name uncultured bacterium. RNAcentral's name for it is "partial 16S ribosomal RNA". It matches the Rfam family "Bacterial small subunit ribosomal RNA", at positions 8 to 202 of the family's 1533-position model. The record is from RNAcentral.